CUUGGACACCCGAAACACCAGGUAAACGGGUUAGGAAUUUAAGGGUUGUUGGGGAACCGGGAUUGAGAAGAUUGGGAAGGGGGGUAAUUGUGCCUCCGAUAAUCUCACUCACACAACGCAAGCAUUGUUUCAUGUCGGAUUUCUGUAAGCUAGUAAAUAUACAAAUGGACUUUGUACCAGUAACUAAACCAAUACGUAUGACUUGAUAUCAAAAAUGUGGACUUUACCUUCAAGAAUAUAACAAGUCAUUGUGUUAAGAAUUAGCUGAGUCACAUUCGUUAUCAGAACCGAAAUACUUAAUGGAGAAUGACAAACUAGAAUUUGAAAUAUAUAAAAGGGAAUACAGAGUGAGAUUUCUGUUAGUCUACUCUCAAAUUUUGAAUAGGCAACGUCUUAUAACACUGAUGUAGACACUUUGAUCAACGCUUCGCAAGUAGUCUUCUGUCUACGCGCAGCCAUGCAGAAUCUACACAUGCAGAAACUACAUUCACUGUGCGCCUUUCCACCUCUUUCUGCGCGUUUAGCGAAGAAUGGCAUUAGGACUCCUUGGUCGCAACACUUGGAAAAAAUCAAACUGUCAAAUUCGAAAAUUGGCGCGAGAACGAAACGUCAAAAAUGUCAGAUUAUAAUUAUUAUUCACAGUUUUUCUUUUCUCUGUCUCACUUGAAAAGAUAAAUUAAAAAAUGUUUCUAGAAAAUACGAUUGUUUGUUACUUAUAGUUUUUUUUUAUUAUAUUUAUCACUCUCUGAAUCACUUUACAAUAUUACACUUCAUCACGAAUAAACGAUACACGUAUGAGUAGAUUCCCAUGUUUGUUUUAUAAAUUGCGUCAAUGCUUUUCAAAUAUACACAUUCUUAUGUCAAUAUCCUUUUGUAAAACGAUUUAAAUUAAUCACGAAAUAUUCUUCAAUAACACAAAUCGAUUUUAACACAAAAAAUCUUUGGUAAUAAAGAGUAUAGGAACACAAUCACACCACUGACGUUUUGAACUUUUAAUUUCACUAUUUAGAAAGCAAAGGCACCACGUAUACAGCCACUAGACAAACUAUCAAA
Long non-coding RNA from Spodoptera frugiperda (fall armyworm), 1053 nucleotides. RefSeq lists it as uncharacterized. Lineage: Eukaryota; Metazoa; Arthropoda; Insecta; Lepidoptera; Noctuidae. The transcript is spliced from 2 exons. The record is from RefSeq and is a predicted model, not a curated record.